GUGCUUGCUUCGGCAGCACAUACACUAAAAUUGGAAUGAUAAAGAAUAAGA
RNAcentral lists this small nuclear RNA (51 nucleotides) under Cervus elaphus hippelaphus. Lineage: Eukaryota; Metazoa; Chordata; Mammalia; Artiodactyla; Cervidae. The record is from RNAcentral.